GAGCUUAGACAUAUAUGGGACGUUGAAAGGGGGAGCUACUACCGCUAACUCUUGCUCUAAAAGCUAAAAUGGAAGAAGAAAUAUUAGAAGCACCAUGGCUAAGGGGCUGAUCAAUACUUUGAAAGAAAUUAAAAGCUAGCAUAAACAUCAAUCGAGUUAAACAUGCCAAAACCACGAGCAUAAUUGCUACAACUUAAUUCAUAAUUUGAGUGGCAUUCCUUAUUUACUAAUGAUUCUUAAAAGGUUGUUGAACAAGUAAGAUGCACUUGAUAAAUUCGCACUCCAAUUGAACUUGAAGAGAGAGUUUGAUUUCUGCAAAUUCAAGAGAUCAAGCAAAGGAACAUUUUAAGGGCGUAGACAUACACCAACAUGUGUUAGUAAUGUACUGUUGAAGUUCUAUACACACUGACGGUGUAAAAUACUCAAAUCAUAUUAUUUAUAAGGUAAUUACGAGUAAAGUAUUAUAAUGAGCAUUCAUUAAUAACCUAGUAAAAAUGAUAAAUGGCUUGCUUUACUAGGUUAAAUUACACUAUAAAUCAUGUGAGUGCGUAUAACUUAAAUCGUGUUGCAAUAAAUCCUAUUGUGAUAUGUUCUCCUCAACCGCGUGAUCCAUCACAGUAAAAAUGUAGUUGUCUCUAUCAAGAGUACUGCAAUUUACACUGAACAAAGAAACUAACACCAAAGGAGGAGAAGAAAUUAGGAGCCGCAUAUUUUGAUCUUAUAAUAGAGGUAAAGAACAAAACCACUAAUGUGUCAUUCAGAAAAAACAAACCAGCCAAAAAGGCAAAAGAUUACCUAAUUAUACUUUCUUUCUUGGCCAAACUAGCCUGUUAGAGGCCUUAUUAUUAUAUAUAUUGGCAAGCUGAUUGAUCAAUUACUAGUACUCAUGUAUUACUUUUUGAUUCUUUUCUGGAGAGUAAUUAAUCACGCAUUCUAUAUAUGUCUAUUUGGCAAGUUGUCCAUUUCAAAUGGCAAGUUGGACAUGGUUUUUAGUGAUUAGUCAACAAAAUGGAAGAAGGAACAAUUGAUGAAAGUUGGUCAGGACUUGCCAUUUUCUAUAGUCAGUUGUUGAUGUGUAUAGCUAUAAUGAAAGAGUUUAAUUUCUAUACAGUAAAAAACAAAUGCGAUAAAUACCCUGCUAAAACAGAUCAAACUGAACCUAUCAUAGUAUAAAAAAUUUAAUUUCUUAAAAUAUAGGUAUAAUGUGAAAAUUCUUUACACGUAUUUAUACUUGAAACUAAUCAAUAUUCCAAAUAUGUGAAUUUCAAAGUAAAGAAACUGUACAUACGAACCACAUAGUUGUCCACUAAUGUCCUCCUGGAUCACUCUCUCAGUCUCUGUUGUGUGCCUGCUGCUUCAUUAGAGGAGAGUCAUAUGUUUGAUGAUGCAGCAUCAUCAAGAUUCCCAUAUGAAAUUUACGAGAAUCUUGGAUUAGACCUCAGCUAAGAUUUUAACUUUAUAGAUUUUGG
RNAcentral lists this long non-coding RNA (1469 nucleotides) under Nicotiana tabacum (common tobacco). RNAcentral's name for it is "long non-coding RNA (NTAB_LNC009472)". Lineage: Eukaryota; Viridiplantae; Streptophyta; Magnoliopsida; Solanales; Solanaceae. The record is from RNAcentral.